This 465-nucleotide ribosomal RNA is filed under the name Vreelandella stevensii. RNAcentral describes it as "partial 16S ribosomal RNA". It matches the Rfam family "Bacterial small subunit ribosomal RNA", at positions 338 to 795 of the family's 1533-position model. Lineage: Bacteria; Pseudomonadati; Pseudomonadota; Gammaproteobacteria; Oceanospirillales; Halomonadaceae. The record is from RNAcentral.
CCUACGGGUGGCAGCAGUGGGGAAUAUUGGACAAUGGGCGAAAGCCUGAUCCAGCCAUGCCGCGUGUGUGAAGAAGGCCUUCGGGUUGUAAAGCACUUUCAGUGGGGAAGAAAGCCUUGGGGCUAAUACCCUCGAGGAAGGACAUCACCCACAGAAGAAGCACCGGCUAACUCCGUGCCAGCAGCCGCGGUAAUACGGAGGGUGCGAGCGUUAAUCGGAAUUACUGGGCGUAAAGCGCGCGUAGGCGGUCUGAUAAGCUGGUUGUGAAAGCCCCGGGCUCAACCUGGGAACGGCAUCCGGAACUGUCAGGCUAGAGUGCAGGAGAGGAAGGUAGAAUUCCCGGUGUAGCGGUGAAAUGCGUAGAGAUCGGGAGGAAUACCAGUGGCGAAGGCGGCCUUCUGGACUGACACUGACGCUGAGGUGCGAAAGCGUGGGUAGCAAACAGGAUUAGAUACCCUAGUAGUC